CUUCUUCUCUUCUUCUUGUCUCAAAGCCUUGGCCCUUCUUUUUCACCGCCGUCGAUGUCUCCUGGGUGCGGUGGUUGGACGUUCGCCGGCGUUCUCCUUUCCCUCCUCUCUUCUUCUUCUUUCUUCACUUCUUUCUACUUUACUUUUUGUUUUUGCUUGCUUGCUGCUAUUUUCCUUUCUUUUGUUUAUGCUUGCACAUUUCUUAGCUUGACUUCGGCGAGGAGCAACGAUGAUCGUUGCACGGCGAUCGUGGUGGCGUGGGUACGGUGGCGGUGAGCGUGGGAUCGGCCCAUGGGAGUAUUUUUUGCUGCUGGAAUUUUCUGCUAUUUUUUUUGCUUUGGUUGCCGAAAAUCCUCCUCCCUUCUCUUCAAUUUUUUCUUUUUAAAAGCUCCAAAUUUUGUCCUCUUUCUCAUUGUUUGCAGGUGGCAGAGGAGCCAUGAUGGCCUAGGGGGGCUGCUGGAGUAGCUCGGCUGGGAGGGGUACGCUCGGCUGGUGCAGCGGCGAUUAGACAAGUCCAGAAGGACUAAAUUGCAUAGGAUGCAAAGCUUCUGGGGCAAAAGUGUAAUUUUAGCAAAAAUAUGGGCCAAAAUGUAAUUUCUUGAGAGUUUAGGGGUCAAAGUGAAUUUUUGAGAAAGUCUAAGGGUCAAAAUGUAAUUUUAGAAAGUUUUGGGUCAAAAUGUAAAUUUUAGAAAAGUUUAGGGUUAAAAUGUAAAUUUUGAAAAGUACAGGGGUUAAAUGAAAAAAUAAAAAAUUCUUUUUUUUUCAAACACGAAAUUAAUCUCGGACAAAAUUCAGUGAUUACAGCUGCCCCUCUUUGCUCAUCGCUAUGAAACAGGGAUAGAGCAAAGACUAAAAAGCACUGAAUUUUGUUCGACCAUCUAAAAUUUUCCUCUUUAUUUGAAAAGCAGAAAUCGAGAACAGCUCGGCGUGCGACCCGAGACUCAACUCACCUCUUGAAUUAUGAGUUGAUCUUCGAAAAACAAAAAUCGAAAAUACCUCGACAUGUGCCCCGAGGCUCAACUCACCUCUCGCAAUAUGAGUUGAUUUUUGAAAAACAUGAAUUGAAAAAUACCUCUGCGUGACCCGAGGCUCAACUCACCUCUCGCAAUAUGAGUUGAUUUUUUGAAAAACAUAAAUUUAAAAGAAAUACCUCGGCAUGGUCCAAGGCUCAACUCACCUCUCGCAAUAUGAGUUGAUUUUUUUGAAAAACAUAAAUUNNNNNNNNNNNNNNNNNNNNNNNNNNNNNNNNNNNNNNNNNNNNNNNNNNNNNNNNNNNNNNNNNNNNNNNNNNNNNNNNNNNNNNNNNNNNNNNNNNNNUGAAGUAAACAAAAUUAAAAAAAAUACCUCAGCGUGACCCGAGGCUCAACUCACCUCUGUAUUAUGAGUUGAUUUCUUGCAAAAAACAGAAUUUUAAAAAUAUUUCUUGAAAGAAACAAGGUUUCAAAAAACAUCAGGUGAAACUAAAAGCCUUCAUCUUCACUGAUUCUGUGCAGCUUUCUCCUAGUAUUCCUUGCUCUACCGGUAUACCUGUAUACGUCAUGUAUGAUGUUAUUACGAUAUGCACAUGUUUGUCCUAAAUGCUUUUGUGUCUACAUGAUCAUGCAAUGCACCGUAGGCUAUUUGUCACGUGCCCCACUUUUGAUUUUUGUGAGGGUCCGCAUUCAUUUCCUCAAUUCUUGACUUUUCUCUCUAAUUUUGUACUCAUCCUCAAGUUCUGUGAGUAAUCUACAUUUCUUCGUAUAUCGCUCUCUUGCCCCCUGCUGAACAUUGUUCCUACUUUGGGGCCCUUAUAUUUAUCAAAUUCUCAUCCAGGUAAUGCUCAACAUUCCUUUUGUUUAGAGUAUGUCAUCUUACUAUUUAUCAUUUAAAUGAAUCAAACACAAGAUGCAUGACAAAAGUGGCAAAGUAGGCAUGAAAGAAAUACCUCACAUUCAUUUUUUAAAGCAACGAAAGAAAUUGACAAGGAAAGUUCAACAAAUAAAUUGUCAUAAAGAAAAGAAAGCGAAUUCAAUGGCCAGAAAUGCUCUAGAUAUCCAAUGCAUGAACUUUCCACGUUUCUUCAUCCUGGAUCUUUUCGAGCACGGCUUCUUGUGUAGAAGAUUUUGAGCUUCUGAGAAUGCUUCAAAUAUUGUAACCUUGCCAUUCGACUCCCUGUUCAAGUCGCCUUGCUCCUUAAGUCCGAGCCCACUUUGUUAGGACGCCCUUUUGGGUUUUCAUCCUAAUCUUUUUUGUUUAUCAAGACGCCCUUUUUGGGUUUUCAUCUUGAUUUUUCUUUUUCUUUUCUUUGUUUUUUUUGUUUUUAUUUUUGUUUUUGUUUUUUUAUUUUUUUUGUCCCUUUUUUUAAGCAUAAUAUUUCUUCACAGCAUCUGAGUUCACUGGAUUAGGUAAUUCUUUCCCAUCCAUUUCAGUAAGAAUCAGAGCCCCUCUUGAGAAUGCCUUUUUUACAACGUAUGGUCCUUCCCAAUUUGGUGACCAUUUUCCUUGAAAGUCCUUUUGUAUCAGGAGGAUCUUUCUUAAAACGAGUUCCCCUUCGCGAAAUUCUCUUGGUCGCACAUUAUUAUCAUGGGCCGUGAUCAUUCUCUCCUGGUACAUCUGUCCAUGACAAAUUGCCUUCAAGCAUUUCCCUUCAAUAAGGUUUAGCUGGUCAUAUCGAACUCGAACCCAUUUCGAUUCUUCUAAUUUUGUCUCCAUCAUGACUCACAAGGAUGAGAUCUCUACUUCAAUAGGCAAAACGGCUUCCAUUCCGUAGACUAAUGAGAAAGGACUUGCUCUCGUAGAUGUCCGCACGGAGGUGCGGUACGCAUACAAAGCUAAUGGUAGCUUCUCGUGCCAAUCUUUAUAUGUCUCACUCAUCUUUCCGAGAAUCCUCUUAAUGUUUUUGUUGGCCGCUUCAACAGCUCCGUUCAUUUUCGGGCGAUAGUGUGAGGAAUUAUGAUGUUUUAUCUUGAAUUGCUCGCACAUUUCUUUCAUCAUUUUGUUGUUCAAAUUUAAAGCAUUAUCUGAGAUGAUUCUUUCAGGCAGACUAUGUCGACAUAUGAUUUCCUUUUUUAAGAACCUACAGACCGUAGCCUUCGUCAUAUUAGCAAACGAAGUGGCUUCUACCCAUUUUGUGAAGUAGUCUAUAACCACAAAGAUGAAUCGAUGUCCAUUGGAAGCUUUCGGGGAAAUCGGCCCUAUAACAUCCAUGCCCCACAUAGAAAAGGGCCACGGAGAAGUCAUGACAUAAAGGGGCGAUGGAGCUGCAUGAAUUUUAUCGCCAUAAAUUUGACACUUAUGACACUUUCGUGCGUAGCCAAUGCAAUCCCUUUCCAUCGUCAACCAAUAAUAACCAAGUCUCAUAAUCUGUCUAGCCAUGGUGAAACCACUAGCAUGCGUUCCACAAAUUCCCUCCUGAACCUCCUCAAGUAUCUUUCUAGCUUCAACAGUGUCCACACAUCUCAUGAGCACUUGAUCUUUCCCUCUUUUGUAUAGAAUAUCCCCGUCAAGAACAAAUCCAAUCGCCAUUCUUCUGAUUGUUCUUUUAUCAUUCUCGUUUGCUUGCUCGGGGUACCUUUGAUUCUUGAUGUACUCUAGGAUAUCAUGGAACCAUGGUCGUCCAUCGGACUUAUUCUCAUACUCAUGCUCGAGAUAUCGCGCUCCCCUUUACUGACUCUUGGCUCUCAUAUACAAUGUCAUACUCAGACAAUAGGAUCUGCCAUCGUGCCAUUCUCCCUCAUAUUCUGUGAACUUUUUACUGAGGCAGUAAAUUAUCUUUUCUCUUUUUCCUGACUCAUCAUGUUGCCCCAGCAUUCUUCAAUUCAAAUGGCAUCACUUUGUAGCAGAACGUUUCCCAUAUUGUGACGAAUGUGGUUUUCUCCAUAUAUUCGGAAGCCAUCUUUAUCUGAUUAUAACCUGAGAAACUAUCCAUGAAAGAAAAUGAAUAAUGUUUUGUCGUGUUAUCCUGGCAUGUCUUGAUACGACCAAACAAAUAUAUCUUUGUACUCACGGAGCAAGGCGAUUAAAUUCUGUUUGGUGUUCUCCGAAACGGAAGUCCUAAUCUUCAGUUCUUGUUUCUUUUCUUCACUCCCUAAGUUCACUGUCUCAACAGAUUCUUGAUGAGGUAAAAUCUGUUUCUCUUCUUGUUCAACUAUUCUCUGUAAGUCAGGAGGCAGGUCACAAUUUUCAGCAUCUUCCUUGGCUUCGAAUUCUCCUAAACAAAUAGCCUUCUUGAAAUUAAUUUCAGGAUUUGUAACGGGAUUAUUCCUGCCAUAGAUAUCUGAGCACCUAAAAGAUGGGUAGAAAAGACAGCUAUAGAGGAGUAUCAAAGUAUUAGAAUCAACACUCAAUGAUAUGAUAUGGUAUGAAAUACAUAUAGGAGAAUGAUGUGAAGAGAAGUGAUAGUUACGAGACUAGUAGAAAUAAAAAGACCAUGACAAAAUGCAUCUUCAUCGAUGUUCAUUGAAAUGAUAAAGAGCAAGCAUAUGCUCUUACAAAAGGAAUCCCACUAUCUAGGGAUAUACAAAAUAAUGGAGAAUUAUCAUUGAGCAUUACUCUAGAGGGGAAUCAAAAACUACAAGGAGGUCCACAGAAGUCUAAUUGUUCAAAACAUAUCCUGGAGGACAAUGGCGUAUCAUUGAAACAUCCCCAAUUGCAUCACCCUCGUUGUCAACAACAUUUAUGCUGAUGUUCUAAAAUCCCUUUUCAUUUAAGGCGCUUCGCAGAUUGUUUUGCCCCUCAUCUUCAUUCGUUACCGAAUUCACAUUCCCAUCAGCAUGGUUAGGAAAAGGGCUUCCAGCCUCAUUACUAACACUAUCAAAUCGUAAAAUGCCCGCAUUGAUAAGAUCUUGAACCCUCCUUUUAAAGGCAAGGCAAUUUUCUGUAGAAUGCCCCUGAUUUCCAGCGUGAUACAUGCAACUAGCAUUAGGAUCAUACCAUUUUGGGUAUGGAGGCUUCAGGGGUGCCAUGUAAUGUGGUGAUAUUAAUUGAUUCUCUAAUAGUUUCGGGUAUAAUUCUCUAUAUGACACAGGAAUUGGGGUGAACUGAGGUCUCUCAGGAUUAGAUCUUGCUGGUCUUGCUCAUUUUUGGGUUGGCUUUGUGUGGGCAUGGUAUUUGGUGGGAACAUGGUGAACGGUCUUUGGUUGUUCAUGGCAUAAACGGGGUAAAGAGGAGGUGUUUGACAAUAAGGACUUUGGGAGGGAAAGUAGAAGUUUGAAGGCGGGCGAUAACGAGUUCGUGGUUGGGCUGGAUGCGGAUUGGAGGUAUAGUGGCUCUCAGUUCCGACCAUAUGGGUUUCUGCCUCUUUAUUCCUUACAGGUACUGUCUUUUUUGAACUUUCAGGGCCUUCCAUCCUCCCAUUCUUGAUGGCGUUUUCUAUAAGCUCCCCAGAUAUUACAAUGUCCUUUGUGGCACUUCCUACCAACUUAUCGUAAAAUGACACUUUCAGAGUAUUAAUGAAGAGGACCGUUAUCUCCGUCUUAGUUAACGGGGGUUCCACCUGAGCUGAGAUAUCCCUCCAUCUUUGUGCGUAUUGUCUAAAGGUCUCUGUCGGCUUUUUUUCCAUCAUUUGCAAAGUUAGUCGAUCAGGCACCAUAUCUGAUACAUGCUUGUAUUGCUCACAGAAUGCUGAUGCUAAGUCCUUCCAUGAUCGGAUCCUCUCUCUGCUGAGCUGAUUAUACCAUCGAAGAGCCGAUCCAACUAAACUGUCCUGAAAACAGUGUAUCAGCAAUUUAUCCUCAUUCACGUAAUCAGUCAUCUUCCGACAAAACAUGACGAGAUGCGCCUUUGGACAUCGCGUCCCAUCAUACUUUUCAAAAUCUGGUGCCUUGAAUUUUGAGGGUAGAACCAGAUCGGGCACCAGACUGAGUUCUUUAGCACUCAAAGCAGAGAAGACUUCAGCACCUUCUAUUGCCUUGAGCCUUUCUUCUAAAAUCUGGUAUCUAUCUUGACCGUCAUAAUCAUUAGUUUUCAAUUUUGCUAUUUCCACAGGAUCGUCCAGAUCUGGAACAAAUGGAUAUGCUGGAUUAACCCCGGAGUUCGAUACCAACAUACCUUGCCCCAAAUGAGCAGAUGGUGCAGGACGUUGUUCCAGGAUUGUAUGGGCGUGAGGUGGAGUAAAUCCUGGGGGAUAGAGUGGAUCCUGAUCAUUAUUAGCUCUUGACUAGGGCUCCAUGAUAUCAUGGCUCUGCAUGGGUCCCUUUCCUUUUACUAAAGCUGUCGUCAUUUCCAUCAUUUUAGCCAUUUGGUCUCUUUGCUCGAGUGAUUCUUCUCGAGAUCUCACCAUCAUAUCUGUUGCCUCUUAUUGUGACUUGGCCAAUUGCUCUUGUAACUCUCUUUGGACCCUUUCCAUCCUUUCGAUUUUUUCGUUAAGUUCAGCGUCCAUAGCUCUAGUUCUUAGACGUGUCCUGUAAAGAUGAUGUGAUUCCAGCCUUGUAGUACCGCCACUGUGGAUUAUGCGAUUUUUGCCUCAGUGAAUGGUAAGGGUGAUAUGUACAUGCAAUGCAUGAAUGAAUGAAUGACAAGUGAAUAUUAGUCAUGAAUAAAUAUACAAGUAUUUGGUGUUGAUUUCAAGACAGCCCCAUAUUUUGGCGUUUCAUUAAUCAAAAGAGUCCAUUACAAAAGAUUUGGCCAAUGAAGAUACCCCUAGUGCCUGAGUCUCAUUGUUUCCAAAUCCUAAUCAAGUAUUCGCGGUUAUUCUGACGAUGCUUUUUGGGUCCUCAAAGAUCAGUCUCAGACUAUAACAUUUUCCUCAAUUACUUGCGUAAUUGAUUCCUCCAUCAAAAACCCGUUUUUGGCAACCAAUCUCUAAUCAACACCAUCCUAAUGAGAUGCCUAUGAUGCAUGAUGAAAAAUAAAAUUAAGACAAAUAAACCUAGUUAGCAAUCACGGCAAAUAUAAACAAAGAAAAACUAUGGAAAAUCUAACAAACCGACCUAUUUUUUUUUUGUUUUAUCCCAUCAUGCUUUACAAAAAUAAACUUACCCCAUAUGCUCAUCAAUCUACCCGAUCAAAUUUAUUAAACAGACCAAAUUCCCUUGCAAAAAGUGUAAAUGUGAAAGAAAUAAAAGGUAAGAGGCGUUUCUCCCGUGUAUUUAUUUUGGUGACUAUUCAUCGGACAGAGGUUCGGCAUGACUCUAAUUGGGUGGCUCGUACGGUUCACUAUAUGUGGCUUUGGUUCUAGAGAGGUACUCGAAUUGUCCAUACUGUCACCUACUAAGGUUAGUACGAAGUCUCGGUUAUCGCCCGUCAUGGGCUUGCGAGCUCAAUUCUAGGGAUUACAUUUACUUAUGCCUAUGCGGAGGGACGAGUUAACUCACGAAAACAUAAGUCAUAUGUAACCCGGAAGUAUUUCACUAGCCUGUGCGGAGGGACGAGUUAACUCACGAAGGCGUAGCGUUUACUUCCACUUAAACGGAUGGAGCCCGGGUAGAGAGCUCAUGUUAUGCAAGAAUGCAAGUGCAUGGUGUGUGGGGAGAAACUCACAAACCUUUUUAUUUUUAUUUUUACUAAAAAAACAAACUAAAACCAUAAAACUUAAAGCUGAAAAAAAACACGAAAAUAAAACAGGUUAGAAAAAUAUUAAUUUCAAAACCGGAUGUAGAUGCAUGAUUUUUCAAAACAAAAUUCAAGGAUCACGAUUAAAAAUUAAAUUGAACAAGAAAUUUUAAAAAUUUUGACAACACGCGUUUAACAUCAGACUCGACUCUAAAAAAAAUGUCCCCAGCGGAGUCGCCAGCUGUAGCGAUCUAAAAAUUUGGGUACGAUGGCACGGGCGCUAGUCGAAAUAAUUAUUGAAAAAUUAAAAACGUCUCGAUUUUAUUUGCAAAAGGAGUCGCCACCGAUCUAUUUUAAGUGUGAUCGAACACCUAAUAAAUUCUCUUUUUAGAAGAAAAAUUUAUUUUUAAAUUUUCCUAAAAAAGAGGUAAUUUUAGGUCUGCGUGAAAAUCCAGAGAAAAUUAGGGUUCGGGAGUCGGUUACGCGCGAGGAAGGUAUUAGCACCCUCGCGACGCCCAAAAUUGGUAUCUCGUUAAACGCGCGUUGUCUUAAUUUUCAAAAAUACAAGUUCAAUUUAAUAUUUAAUUGUGAUCCGAUUGAAACUUGAGAAAACCUUUUUUUUUGUUUUUAAACACGAGAACUUUGAAACACAAUAAUAAUUUUUGAAAACACGAAGAUUUUUGAAACACGAAAUUUUUUUGAAAACACGGAUUUUUUUUUGAAAAUAAGGAAAUUUUCGAUACAUGAGAAUUUUUUGACACGAAAAAUUUUGAAAACACGAAAAUUUCGAAAACUUGAAUUUUUUUUUAAACAUGAAUUUUUUUUUAAAAAACACAAGAAUUUUUUGAAAACACGAAAGCAUGAAAAUUUUGAAAACACGGGAAUUUUUUUAAAACACGAAAAUUUUUGAAACAUGAGAAUUUUUUGACACGAAAAUUUCGAAAACAUGAAUUUUUUUUAAAAUACGAAUUUUUUUAAAAACACGAGAAUUUUUUUGAAAACACGAAAACAUGAAAAUUUUGAAAACACAAAAAUUUUUGAAACAUGAGAAUUUUUUGAAAACACGAAAACACGAAAAAAAAUUUAAACACGGGAAUUUUUGAAAACAAGAAAUUUUUUUUUAAAAACACGGAAAUUUUAAAACAUGGAAACUUUAAAAACACGAAAUUUUUUUUUAAAACACAAGAUUUUUAUUUUUUUUAUUUUUUUAAAUACCGUAUUUAACACGAAUCGGUGACAUUCACCCCGUUAUGGCGAUGAAACCAUCGAAUUAGUGUUAACUCAAUUCAAUUUAAUAUUUAAUCGGGAUUCUAAUAAAACACGAGAAUUUUUAUUAAAAUACGAGGAUUUUUGAAUAUUUUUAUUUUUAAAAGGGCGUCCCGAAUUUAACACGAGCUAUCGAUAUCCACCCAACAUAGCAAUGAAUUUGAUGACUCGAUGCUAAAUUGGUUCGUUGCCUUAUGCAUUAAAAUAUUAUUAUUAUUAUUUUUUAAAUAUGCAAUUAAAAUGACAUAAUAAUAUUUAUGAAAACUAUUUUUAAACAUACUAAUUUAAAUUAAAUAAAACACCAUUUAAAUACAUUAAAUAAAAUAAAAUAGAUUAAAAAGAAAAAAAAUUACCCAAAAAGGCCCUUUUCCUUUUUUUCGGUUUGGGCCUCAGUUGGCCCGCUUCACUGCUGCAAUCGGCCCGCUGGAGCUGCUGGGGUAUUGGGCCUGCACUGGGUCAAGUCCAUUGGUGGUGGACUGCUGGUGGCUUACCAAAAAUGGGCUGCUGUUUUUAUUUUUUUAUUACUUUUUUCUCUCUUUUUCUUCCUCUUUUUUUCUUCUUCUCUUCUUCUUGUCUCAAAGCCUUGGCCCUUCUUUUUCACCGCCGUCGGUGUCUCCUGGGUGCGGUGGUUGGACGGUCGCCGGCGUUCUCCUUUCCCUCCUCUCUUCUUCUUCUUUCUUCACUUCUUUCUACUUUACUUUUUUUUUUGCUUGCUUGCUGCUAUUUUCCUUUCUUUUGUUUAUGCUUGCACAUUUCUUAGCUUGACUUCGGCGAGGAGCAACGAUGAUCGUUGCACGGCGAUCGUGGUGGCGUGGGUACGGUGGCGGUGAGCGUGGGAUCGGCCCAUGGGAGUAUUUUUUGCUGCUGGAAUUUUCUGCUAUUUUUUUUGCUUUGGUUGCCGAAAAUCCUCCUCCCUUCUCUUCAAUUUUUUCUUUUUAAAAGCUCCAAAUUUUGUCCUCUUUCUCACUGUUUGCAGGUGGCAGAGGAGCCAUGAUGGCCUAGGGGGGGCUGCUGGAGUAGCUCGGCUGGGAGGGGUACGCUCGGCUGGUGCAGCGGCGAUUAGACAAGUCCAGAAGGACUAAAUUGCAUAGGAUGCAAAGCUUCUGGGGCAAAAGUGUAAUUUUAGCAAAAAUAUGGGCCAAAAUGUAAUUUAUUGAGAGUUUAGGGGUCAAAGUGAAAUUUUGAGAAAGUAUAAGGGUCGAAAUGUAAUUUUAUAAAGUUUUGGGGUUAAAAUGUAAAUUUUAGAAAAGUUUGGGGUCAAAUUGUAAAUUUUGAGAAGUAUAGGGGUUAAAAUGCAAAAAAGUAAUAAAAUUUCUUUUUUUUUUUUCAAGCACGAAAUUAAUCCCGGACAAAAUUCAGUGAUUACAGUCCAUUCACCAACUAUUAGAGGUCUUUUUACCCCUGUCCAUAGGACCUGCUAAGAUAGUCAACAAUUAUUAGUACAAUAAAUAUUUGAUACUAAUAAAUUAUUUUAAUUUAAUUUUACACCAAUUUUAUUUUUUUCUACUGUAUUUUCAUAGUAAUUGUUUUCUAC
This 10270-nucleotide long non-coding RNA is filed under the name Gossypium raimondii (Peruvian cotton). RNAcentral's name for it is "long non-coding RNA (GRAI_LNC003421)". Lineage: Eukaryota; Viridiplantae; Streptophyta; Magnoliopsida; Malvales; Malvaceae. The record is from RNAcentral.